The submitters of this non-coding RNA (118 nucleotides) gave its source as unclassified sequences. The record is from Rfam.
AACCUAACCCGCCUCGGCGGCAUGGUUAUCAAAAUCCAUCGUGAAAUAAAAGCUCGUCGUCAGAGCACUAUUUCACGAUGGUCGGUACUGGAAACGGUAUCGGGUAGCCUCGGCUAUC